This 460-nucleotide ribosomal RNA is filed under the name uncultured bacterium. RNAcentral's name for it is "partial 16S ribosomal RNA". It matches the Rfam family "Bacterial small subunit ribosomal RNA", at positions 338 to 795 of the family's 1533-position model. The record is from RNAcentral.
CCUACGGGGAGCUGCAGUGAGGAAUAUUGGUCAAUGGGCGUAAGCCUGAACCAGCCAAGUCGCGUGAGGGAUGAAGGUUCUAUGGAUCGUAAACCUCUUUUAUCAGGGAAUAAAGUGUGGGACGUGUCCUAUUUUGUAUGUACCUUAUGAAUAAGGAUCGGCUAACUCCGUGCCAGCAGCCGCGGUAAUACGGAGGGUCCGAGCGUUAUCCGGAUUUAUUGGGUUUAAAGGGUGCGUAGGCGGCCUUUUAAGUCAGCGGUGAAAGUCGGUGGCUCAACCAUAGAAUUGCAGUUGACACUGGGGGGCUUGAGUAUGUUUGAGGCAGGCGGAAUGCGUGGUGUAGCGGUGAAAUGCUUAGAUAUCACGCAGAACCCCGAUUGCGAAGGCAGCCUGCCAAGCCAUGACUGACGCUGAUGCACGAAAGCGUGGGGAUCAAACAGGAUUAGAUACCCUUGUAGUC